CAGAUCCUAAGCACUGGAUAUGAAGGCCAAGUAAAAGGUCUUGGUUCUGGGCAGGAUCCACAGUCACAUUUCAAGAUUACCACCUCAUCCAGGACUUAAGAGACCAAGACCCAGGAGAAAAGGAAACCUCAGAGAGGUCUUAAUUUUCAUCCAGACCGCCUUCAGCCCACUUCUACUGACCACAAGCUUUUGGAUGCUGCCCUUGGUCUCUGAGCACAGCAGAAUACGGGAGAAUCCCUUCCUGCUGGAGACAUGAUGCCUUAUCUUCCCUCCCAAAGGGCCAUCUCUGCUUCAAUUCCACUGCCAGCCACAUCCUUGCUACUGCCCUCUUACUACUUCCUAUUCUAGCCAAACUGUAUUAGUUUUUAAUUUAUUUCACUCAGUUAUUCUUAAUACAGUUUAAAUAUAGACAAUACAAAAUAUGGAUAUUUAUUUUAUUUAUUAUUAUAUAUGCAUAUUCAUGUUAUCUUUGAUACUGCUACUUGGUCCACACAGGUGGAUAAGGUACUAUAUUUACCAUCUGACCCUUUAUAGAAAAAGUUAGCUGACCCCUCGUCUAAACUAUGAAGACAGAAACAUCUGUUUUGUUCCCUAUUGUAGUCCCACGACAGGUGCAAAUGUGUCCUAAGUGAAUAUCAUUAAGUGAAUAAAUGAUGGAAAAA
Molecule: long non-coding RNA, 662 nt
Organism: Piliocolobus tephrosceles (Ugandan red Colobus)
Lineage: Eukaryota; Metazoa; Chordata; Mammalia; Primates; Cercopithecidae
Exons: 2
Source: RefSeq, a predicted model, not a curated record